GGCCUUAGGGUGACUUUCUGGAGAGGCAAGCAUCUUCAUGUGAGACCUGCCAAAGGGUGUAUACCUUCUCAAAAGACCCUGCAGUUUCUUCUCCAAUGUGGACAACGCUGAGCAUAUGAUCUUUCGGUGUCUAUCUGCACUUUCUUUGACCUGUUGGACAACCAGUUGUGGUCCAUUUGGGAGCUCCCAUCUCAUUAAAAAAUGAGAACAUCCUGAGCCAGACAAAGAUGCUCUUUGUACUUUUAGUUUCAUUCUGAACCCAAGCCAGAAAUCUACCUAAGCAACUCAC
Molecule: long non-coding RNA, 289 nt
Filed under: Homo sapiens (human)
Lineage: Eukaryota; Metazoa; Chordata; Mammalia; Primates; Hominidae
Description: non-protein coding lnc-GPATCH2L-1:4
Source: RNAcentral